GAUGAACGCUGGCGGCGUGCUUAACACAUGCAAGUCGAACGGACAGGCGCGGAUCUUGCUGCGCGCACGUGAGGCGCGGGCGUGUGAAACACGCGUGGAUAACCCACCUAUAUGACUGAUAUCACGACGAAACACGGGAUAUAAUACCAUAGAAUCUAUUGAACCGCGGGGUUCAAUGGUGAAUGUCGGUUUUGCGGUCUCUUCUAGAGGUAUCCGAGCUGCAUUAGCUAGUUGGUAGGGUAACGGCUUUCCACGGCGAGGAUGCGUAGCCGACCUGAGAGGGGGAUCGGCCACACGGGAACUGAGACACGGUCCAGAGUCCUACGGGAGGCAGCAGUAGGGAAUGUUGGGCAAUGGGCGGAAGCUUGACGGAGCAACGCCGCGCGAGUGAUGAAGGCCUUCGGAUCGGAAAACUCUGUUAUGGGGGAAGAACAAAUGUGUACGUAACCAAGCACGGAGUGACGGUACCGGAUAAAAAAGCACCGGCUAACUACGUG
This 497-nucleotide ribosomal RNA is filed under the name uncultured bacterium. RNAcentral's name for it is "partial 16S ribosomal RNA". It matches the Rfam family "Bacterial small subunit ribosomal RNA", at positions 28 to 507 of the family's 1533-position model. The record is from RNAcentral.